CUACGGGUCGCUCCAGUGUGGAAUAUUGCACAAUGGAGGAAACUCUGAUGCAGCAACGCCGCGUGGAGGAUGACACUUUUCGGAGCGUAAACUCCUUUUAUAUAGGAAGAAGAUGACGGUACUAUAUGAAUAAGCGCCGGCUAACUCCGUGCCAGCAGCCGCGGUAAUACGGAGGGCGCAAGCGUUACUCGGAAUCACUGGGCGUAAAGAGCGUGUAGGCGGAUUAAAAAGUCAGAAGUGAAAUCCUAUAGCUUAACUAUAGAACUGCUUCUGAAACUCUUAAUCUAGAAUAUGGGAGAGGUAGAUGGAAUUUCUGGUGUAGGGGUAAAAUCCGUAGAGAUCAGAAGGAAUACCGAUUGCGAAGGCGAUCUACUAGAACAUUAUUGACGCUGAGACGCGAAAGCGUGGGGAGCAAACAGGAUUAGAUACCCGAGUAGUC
This 439-nucleotide ribosomal RNA is filed under the name uncultured bacterium. RNAcentral describes it as "partial 16S ribosomal RNA". It matches the Rfam family "Bacterial small subunit ribosomal RNA", at positions 339 to 795 of the family's 1533-position model. The record is from RNAcentral.